RNAcentral lists this ribosomal RNA (750 nucleotides) under Guptibacillus algicola. Its description in RNAcentral is "bacterial SSU rRNA". It matches the Rfam family "Bacterial small subunit ribosomal RNA", at positions 18 to 749 of the family's 1533-position model. Lineage: Bacteria; Bacillati; Bacillota; Bacilli; Caryophanales; Guptibacillaceae. The record is from RNAcentral.
CAUGGCUCAGGACGAACGCUGGCGGCGUGCCUAAUACAUGCAAGUCGAGCGGAGAAAUGGGAGCUUGCUCCCAUUUCUCAGCGGCGGACGGGUGAGUAACACGUGGGCAACCUGCCCUGCAGACUGGGAUAACUCCGGGAAACCGGAGCUAAUACCGGGUAAUACAUAGCAUCGCAUGAUGCAACGUUGAAAGUUGGCCUUUGGCUAACACUGCAGGAUGGGCCCGCGGCGCAUUAGCUAGUUGGUAAGGUAACGGCUUACCAAGGCCACGAUGCGUAGCCGACCUGAGAGGGUGAUCGGCCACACUGGGACUGAGACACGGCCCAGACUCCUACGGGAGGCAGCAGUAGGGAAUCUUCCGCAAUGGACGAAAGUCUGACGGAGCAACGCCGCGUGAGUGACGAAGGCCUUCGGGUCGUAAAGCUCUGUUGUUAGGGAAGAACAAGUACCGUUCGAAUAGGGCGGUACCUUGACGGUACCUAACCAGAAAGCCACGGCUAACUACGUGCCAGCAGCCGCGGUAAUACGUAGGUGGCAAGCGUUGUCCGGAAUUAUUGGGCGUAAAGCGCGCGCAGGCGGUCUCUUAAGUCUGAUGUGAAAGCCCACGGCUCAACCGUGGAGGGCCAUUGGAAACUGGGGGACUUGAGUGCAGAAGAGGAGAGUGGAAUUCCACGUGUAGCGGUGAAAUGCGUAGAUAUGUGGAGGAACACCAGUGGCGAAGGCGGCUCUCUGGUCUGUAACUGACGCUGA